Molecule: unclassified non-coding RNA, 446 nt
Filed under: soil metagenome
Description: partial contains internal transcribed spacer 2 and large subunit ribosomal RNA
Rfam family: 5.8S ribosomal RNA (bases 1-116)
Source: RNAcentral
GAUGAAGAACGCAGCGAACUGCGAAAAUUAAUGCGACCCGCAACACGUGAGUCAUCGAGUUUUUGAACGCAUAUUGCACCCGACAGAAACUGUCGGGUCUGCCUGGCUGAGUAUCAGUACGUGCCCGGUCGUUGUAUGCAAAUUUAUUAAUAGGUUUGUAUAUCCGACGUACCGGUGAUCGUUGAGCAGCAAUGCUGCUUGACGGAUGUGAGUGUCCGGUGGUCUUUUGUACCGCUGGUCAUUUGAAAUUCAUCGGUGCCGCGCAUCGUCUCUCGAGACGUUGUCGACUUGUUAGCGUUGUAAUCAUCCUCGGAUGUCUUCGCAUUAUAUACGGUCGGCGUCAAACUAUGCAGCGACACUUGUACGCAUACUAUAUAUAUACUCUCCCCUUGAUCUCAGAUCAGGCAGGAUGACCCGCUGAACUUAAGCAUAUCAAUAAGCGGAGG